RNAcentral lists this ribosomal RNA (207 nucleotides) under uncultured bacterium. RNAcentral describes it as "partial 16S ribosomal RNA". It matches the Rfam family "Bacterial small subunit ribosomal RNA", at positions 568 to 774 of the family's 1533-position model. The record is from RNAcentral.
AGCGCAGGCGGUCUUUUAAGUCUAAUGUGAAAGCCUUCGGCUCAACCGAAGAAGUGCAUUGGAAACUGGGAGACUUGAGUGCAGAAGAGGACAGUGGAACUCCAUGUGUAGCGGUGAAAUGCGUAGAUAUAUGGAAGAACACCAGUGGCGAAGGCGGCUGUCUGGUCUGUAACUGACGCUGAGGCUCGAAAGCAUGGGUAGCGAACA